This 72-nucleotide transfer RNA is filed under the name Bos taurus (domestic cattle). It matches the Rfam family "tRNA". Rfam says of the family: Transfer RNA (tRNA) molecules are approximately 80 nucleotides in length. Their secondary structure includes four short double-helical elements and three loops (D, anti-codon, and T loops). Further hydrogen bonds mediate the characteristic L-shaped molecular structure. tRNAs have two regions of fundamental functional importance: the anti-codon, which is responsible for specific mRNA codon recognition, and the 3' end, to which the tRNAs corresponding amino acid is attached (by aminoacyl-tRNA synthetases). tRNAs cope with the degeneracy of the genetic code in two manners: having more than one tRNA (with a specific anti-codon) for a particular amino acid; and 'wobble' base-pairing, i.e. permitting non-standard base-pairing at the 3rd anti-codon position. Lineage: Eukaryota; Metazoa; Chordata; Mammalia; Artiodactyla; Bovidae. RNAcentral also lists the same sequence under 2 other names. The record is from Rfam by way of RNAcentral.
UCCCUGAUAGCUCAGUUGGUAAAGAAUCUGCCUGCAAUGCAGGAGACCCUGGUUCGAUUCCUGAAUUGGGAA